CCAGAAAGUGGAUGGAAGUAAGAGAUAUGCAUGUCAUCAAAGUGCUACCUGAAGACUCCAUUGUCGUUUGGGGAUUGUAAAAAUGUUUUUAAGCCGCAGAAAUACUCUGCAGCAUCCAUGCUUAGACUUCUUUCUUAAUUCUACACUUUUGCCUUUAUUUAGUUUCCCCUUUAGCCUUUUUCCAAAAAAAAAAAAAAAAAAAAGAGGCUAUUUUGCUCUCUGAGCACUGUUCAUCUCCCUUCUCCCUCCCUUUCAAUUCUUGAUAUUAAAAUCUAUUUCCCCCUUUCCCAGACAAAAGGAAUGUAUAAAGGAUUUCAGUGACUUUGAGAUAACAAAGGCGCCACCAUUGCAGAGGUUCGCCCCGCCUCUGUUUGAUGGCAAACAAAUUCUUGCACUUGUAUUAGGGCUUUUAAGGCUAUAAUUGAACACGGCGCGUCUAGGAGAACCGAAAACAGUUCUAGACUGACCUGCGGUUUUAUAGCACUUUUGGCAGUCAACUUCAGCUUGUGUCAGAACAGACAUGACAGAACGGACCAACGGUUAAUCGGGAGACACCACCUACUUGGAAUCGCUGCAGUCCCCUCUUAAUUAAAUAAAUCACAAACGUUGGGGAGAGAACGGGCUGCAGUUCUGAAAAAAGUCAUUGGGACUUCUGCGUUUAGAAAGCAAAUAACACCGUGCAUUGCCCCUGCUAACCUCGGUGAGAACAGCAAAAACAAAAGAAGGCAUUUCAUUUUGAGAAGCAAAAUCCAUUCAUUCCUCCUUUACAACUAUUUCGUCUGGCUGAGAAAGGGCAACGUGUAUAAUCAUGUUAUGUGCUUUGCAACUGCGCUGCAUUACAUUCUAGAUACAUUUUACAAUGGACGCAGAUAUCGCUAGUAGGUAAAUAGACUUUAUGGGCAGAUUGGGUCGUGUCUACCUAUAUAAAGCGAAGAAAAAUUAAUCCAUACUUUGGAGCGAUAUAAACAAAGCUAGGAUGUCACGUCCAGAGUUUGUAUAUAUCUGGUGUGCAGAAGGAACUUUUAAAAACAAUACCGGGGAUCUUUAAAAGGUCAAGUUCUAUAAUGUGCAAAACGUUGCCACUUUCUGUUUAUUUGUGGGUUUUUCAUAAAAACAAAUAGCACUAUAAUUUAUAUUAAACAUUAGGGUGAAUACCUGUGUUUCACAGUAGAAGUGUAUACUAAGUGGAUUUUAUGUGUAAAACGAGUUAACUAAAAUAUUACAUUUUUAUUGAUUUUUGAAAAUUAGCAUAUUUUCAAUAAUUAUGCUUUUUGAUAUAAUUUUGAUAUCUCCAAAAUUGUGCACUAAUUAAUUAUUAUAGCAUAUAGCUAUUGUAUGCUUUACUUUCUAUAUACAUGCAGUUACUAUAGUAGGACAAUAUUAGGAAAUAUGCAACAUAUUUUGGCCAACGAAAACAUCAUAACUUCUUUCUUUCUAAUGAAAAAUGUCUAUAAGGUCGCAACACUUCGAAACAUUUGUCUUAAAAGUAAUUAUUUAAAUUUCCUGCCGAUUGUUUGGGUUAAACAUUAUUUAAGACUUACUAGUUCUCUACUCAGCUGUUUUUCUCUUUUCCUUUUUGACCACUGUACUACUGAGCUAUACAGUAAUAACCAAAAUAUAGUUUGUCACCUAAACACGUCUUUAACAUUUUAAGAACAAAUAAUUAUAACAAUAUUUUGAUAAUGGAUUUCAAACACUAAUACCUCUGCUAUUACAGCUAGUAGGGAUUUAUCAAAAGAGCAAGAUGCAUUUCCAAGAUUAUGAUAUGGAAUAGUCUGUUUAUUGUUCAAAACCAGGCGCUACGUAAUCGUAGUCAUACUAUGGAGGUGCAAAUUUAUAUAUAAAGAGAAAGCAAAUGUAAAUACAAAACUGAGUCACAGUUCAACUGUAGUCUUGGUAUAUUUAACGGCAUUAUAUUAAUUCUGACGAAUAAGCUUUUUAAAACAAUUUUACUUACCAGGUUGAAGAUUGUACAUGAUUGUA
Long non-coding RNA from Chelonia mydas (Green sea turtle), 1983 nucleotides. RefSeq lists it as uncharacterized. The record is from RefSeq and is a predicted model, not a curated record. The transcript has 2 exons. Lineage: Eukaryota; Metazoa; Chordata; Testudines; Cheloniidae.